This is a long non-coding RNA of Numida meleagris (helmeted guineafowl), 1160 nucleotides long. RefSeq lists it as uncharacterized. The record is from RefSeq and is a predicted model, not a curated record. Lineage: Eukaryota; Metazoa; Chordata; Aves; Galliformes; Numididae. The transcript is spliced from 3 exons.
UUACAAAUAAUCACCUGAUUUUAUUAAAAGGGUUAUUUGGAAACAUCAUACAGCUCCUGUAUAGGCAUGAUAACACAAGUCUUCUAUUCUAUGUGAGCACUGUUUGGAUAUGCCUACUGUGGAGCACAGAGCCCAUCUCACCUUGUUACUCAAAAUUGUUACCUGUGCUUGAGUUUGUAGCACUAAAGCUGGAGUAAAAGCAAACACUCAUGGGGCUGCAGACACAGGAUUGUGGUGUGAGCAGAAUAAAUCACAGGAGUUUUGGUGAGCCUGGCUUCCAAGAGCAUGCUUGCAAUGGCCAGAACAAGUUGGAAGUUUAAAAAACAAGGAUUUUUAAGAUUAGUGAAUAUUUGGAUGGGAGUGGAAAUGCUCUGCUUCUAUGCUUCUGUAGUGGCAAUGACUAUUCUGGAAGAAUGACAUACAGAUUCAAUUUUUUUGCCUGGAAACUCAGUUGUAGAUCAGUCGCUGAGUUGCUAUUAACAGAAAGACAGAAAUUUUGUUACAAAGUGGGUACCCCAUGGCUGGAGCUGGGGUCACAAGCCAUCACUCCCUGUUCCACAGAAUCCUGCGAAAGGGUUCUCAGUGAACAGCGUGAUCAUAAUGGGGCAGCUGUGAGGGCUAACAGCAGUACACUUAUUUAAAGAUUUGAGGGAUCACUACUCUCACAGCAGAGCUUGCAGUGUGUUUACAUGCCUAUAUGAUACACCACAAUAUUAGAGACCAUGCCUGUGGGGAAUUUACACCCCACUCUGGGCUGCUGCGGCUGGGGCUGGCAGCUCUUGCACAACAGCAUGGUGACCUGGGCCGACAGUGGUUGAGCAAUUGCCCUGCUGGGAUCUUUACGACCUGGGCUCACUCUCCUGCACAAGUCAUGAUGCCUUGGCAUGGAGGUCUUCAGACACUUCCCCAGCUCCAGUAGCUGCACUGGGAGUAGAUGGUAUCAUUUCAGAGACCUCCUCUUCAGUUCAACUCAACAAACAUGAAAAAUGCAAAUGGUCUUGUACCUCCAGGGAGUUUAUCUAACAUUUGCCUAUUGCGGUUUGACUGACAAACCAAAAUGUUUCAAGUGGCCCCUCACCUAUAGGGAGAGUUGGGAGAGUUUGAGCUACAUUCGGCCCCUUAAGUUCUACUCAGUGAGUGCAGGUGUUCCGCACUCUUUU